This 392-nucleotide ribosomal RNA is filed under the name uncultured bacterium. RNAcentral describes it as "partial 16S ribosomal RNA". It matches the Rfam family "Bacterial small subunit ribosomal RNA", at positions 523 to 918 of the family's 1533-position model. The record is from RNAcentral.
AUACGUAGGGGGCGAGCGUUGUCCGGAUUUAUUGGGCGUAAAGGGUGCGUAGGCGGCCUUGUAAGUCAGAUGUGAAAUCUCACGGCUUAACCGUGGUAAGCAUUUGAAACUGUGAGGCUUGAGUACAGGAGAGGAGAGUGGAAUUCCUAGUGUAGCGGUGAAAUGCGUAGAUAUUAGGAGGAAUACCAGUGGCGAAGGCGACUCUGUGGAAUGUAACGGACGCUGAGGCACUAACGCGUGGGGAGCAAACAGUAUUAGAUGCCCUGGUAGUCCACGCCGUAAACGAUGAGUGCUAGGUGUCGGGGGUCAAACCUCGGUGCCGCAGUUAACACAUUAAGCACUCCGCCUGGGGAGUACGGUGGCAACACUGAAACUCAAAGGAAUUGACGGGG